Molecule: long non-coding RNA, 1235 nt
Organism: Talpa occidentalis (Iberian mole)
Lineage: Eukaryota; Metazoa; Chordata; Mammalia; Eulipotyphla; Talpidae
Exons: 3
Source: RefSeq, a predicted model, not a curated record
UCAGCGCUGGCUCCGCAGCCACGACGGCCCAGACGCGGAAACGCCCUCGACGCCCCCAGCACAGGGACGGAUCAAGAGCAGGAGGUCUGUGCACACGUGAGCACUUACUACUCAGCCAUCGGAACACACACUCGGGCCAUUUGCAGCAACGUGCCAGGAGGCGGAGGGGACCGUGCUCCGUGACCACGUCAGGGCGAAAAGACAAAUGGUGGAUGGUGAAUGACAGGCGGAAGAGAGGGACUCCCCCAGCCCGCACUUCCCGCAUCUCCUGUCCUGAGCCUGGAGGUGUCAGGUGCCCCCCAGAGGGUGCAAGUCCCCCUGUGACCCUGCAGGAAUGAGCGGGGGUGGCGCGACCUCCACACUCUGCUCCUGCCCCACCGGUGGGCCCAGGGAGGACAAGGACAAAGAUGAAAACGCCCCUUAGCACGGCUCUGCCUCGGUUGGCCUGACCCCUUCUCUCUCACCGGCUCAGCUAUCAGGGAAGAGCCCACCAACAGUGCCUGCUCUGGGUCCCCUCUUCCACCUGCACUCCCUGCUGUCUCCUCUCUCUGCAGACCCACUCCAGGCCUGGGCUCUUCCAAAGCAGUCGCACCUGGGAACACAGACAAGGCUGGAUGCCACCCAUGCAACACGCUAAGCGUCUGGGUCCUAAUUUUGCAGCCACUGAGUGCAAGGGAGAUCCUGGGCUGCGACAACAGUACAGGCUGCUGGCCUUGUUGCAUUGGGUUGGGGCCCGGACACCUGCAGUGGCCAAGCCCCAGAGCUUGUGGCUGUGAGAAGUGAAGGGCGCUGGAGUGGCCAGAACUGAAUCUUGCUGGGGAGGACAGCUCCUCAGUGGCAAUCAUGGGAUCGCCAUGCUCCAGCUCCCCCUUCAACUCAUAGCCUUUGUAUUCUGCUGCCACCAUUUGAAAAAAUAAAAUACAUUCAUUUACGCAUACCAGAGCUGGGAUAUAGACCAGAGAAGUGGGUGGUGAGAGGAUUCACCAGAGAUAGAACGGAACAGCAUAUCUACUGAAAUCCACUGCUAACGGGAGCAGCAGGGAGACAGACCCCUUACAGGGAGAACAGCCCGGACCAAAGCCAGGUGUUGAGUCACACGGGAUUGAGAUAAAGACUUGGGGUGCCUGUGAAGAUGAGCGUCUCCUCGUGAAGAGAGCUCUGGGUCCGGGGACGAGUGUGUGCUGUGCAGCGCGUCAGUGUGCGCCGGGUGCCCUGGGGUGCACAGAUGUGUGAUG